AUAUGGAUGUAUGAACGCAGACUAUUUCUUCUAAAUAAUCGAUAAGGUGAAUAAAUGUUUCUUCGAGCAAAAUAUACAUUCCAAAAAGAACCCGCUUAGCCUAGUGCACCAUGUUUUGUAUUGUUGCUGGAAUUUUAGAAAGGGAUAGAAUGUUAGAUCAGAAAUGUUAGAUCAAUGAUCAAUUGAAAUCACUGAUCACCAAUCCAAAACUCUGAAACGGAUUUCUCUGACCCACAAAGAAGAUAGGCAUGUAUGAAGACAAACAAUUUCUUCCAAAUAAUUGAUAAGACCAUCUCCAACGGAGAGGUCAAUUGCCAAGUGGAAGCCCAACGUUUAUUUUUGACAGCCCAAACUCUUCUCCAACCCGUAUGUCUUUUCCACGUGGAUUAGACAUAUCCCUCUCCUCUGUCAAAUUUGACAGCUUCUUCUCAAUCUGUCUUUUAUUUUUUUUAUUGUUUCUCACUUUCUCAGUGCGUCUCUCUUUUUCCUUUCCCCGUCUUUCUUCCUUCAUCUCACCCAGAACUCAGGCUUUUGAAACCCCGGUUCCAAUGAGCUAAGGAAGAAGAAGUUUUAGAUAGAUGUUCUACUGUAAAACUAGUAGAUGUUCUACAUGUGCCUCGUACAGAAGCAACUAGUUUUGGUCCUGCGUUUAUUGAGGAUUGGAAGCUUGAAUCAUGGCUGAAGAUCUGGACAAACCGUUGUUGGAUCCUGAAUAGAGAUGGCAUCGAUUUGGAACACUUACCACUGGAAGAAGUUUUUGAACAACUGAGAACAUCAGCAAGAGGCCUUUCAUCCGAUGAUGCUGAAUGCAGAUUGCACAUUUUUGUCAGCAUCUUUCCACCUCCGAAUGUGUAGAAGAGGCUACCUGUGUUGAGAAGUGAUUAGGUUGACGUACAUUGCUGUCUUAUUUCCUAAUCAUUUAGGCUUUUGAGUUUUAGUGGUUCUCUAAUGGGCUAAUAUUCAAAUGCUGGUUUUAUUUGAGACGUAGUUUUAUUUACCCAUCAAAACCUGCUUAAGUACAACAAUUAUGAUUAAUCGACAAUUGAAAAGAACUAGCUUUCUAGAGGAACCUGCUAUGUAUUCCCAUAUCUCAAAUUCUCAUAAUCUCAAUUGCAUCUCUUAAUGAAAUCAUUCAUUGUAUGA
RNA transcript from Rosa chinensis, 1143 nucleotides. RefSeq lists it as uncharacterized. The transcript has 4 exons. The record is from RefSeq and is a predicted model, not a curated record. NCBI's taxonomy places the organism in Eukaryota, Viridiplantae, Streptophyta, Magnoliopsida, Rosales, Rosaceae.